UCCGAAGAUUAUAAAGUACAUCGAAGACAUGAAUUUUUCCAGACAUUUGUACUCGGAAUUAAAUAAAUUGGAAAAGUCACCUUGAAAAAUAGGAGGAGGGGUCAGUGUCACCUUAUUNNNNNNNNNNNNNNNNNNNNNNGGGGGGGGGGGGGGGGGGGGGAUCCCAAUGUGAUUUUGAUCAGAUAUGUUGCAUUUAAAUCAUUUUAGGUUCUAUGAGACACCAUUUCCGCAUUCUCAAAAUUGCGUUGCUUUUUCAUACGAUACAGAAUAAAUUUGAGAAGAAAUAUUCAUGCUAUGAUGAUGCAUACAUGUAUUUAACAGUUAAAAAUCUAAACUAAAUCUAUUCUUCUUGGAACCAGCAUUUUAUCGGAUUGUUUGCAUGAAAUCUAUCGCUAUUAUGAAAUACUCGGUGAAGAACAAUAUGAAUUACACACAAGAUGGCUGUGGAGGGGGAUAUGGAAGGGCAUAAUCUCAUCAUCAAGUAAAUCAACUGCAAUUCUGACAGCAAUCAUGAGCAAUUCUGCUUCGCACUUCGGGCCAGAAAUG
This 546-nucleotide long non-coding RNA is filed under the name Paramuricea clavata. Lineage: Eukaryota; Metazoa; Cnidaria; Anthozoa; Malacalcyonacea; Plexauridae. The record is from RNAcentral.